Molecule: ribosomal RNA, 1373 nt
Filed under: uncultured bacterium
Lineage: Bacteria
Description: bacterial SSU rRNA
Rfam family: Bacterial small subunit ribosomal RNA
Source: RNAcentral
CCUGGCUCAGGACGAACGCUGGCGGCGUGCUUAACACAUGCAAGUCGAACGAAGCUUGAUUGCGGAUUCUUCGGAUGAAGUAUGAUAUGACUGAGUGGCGGACGGGUGAGUAACGCGUGAGUAACCUGCCCUUCAGAGGGGGAUAGCGUUUGGAAACGAACGGUAAUACCGCAUAAUGUAUUUUGACCGCAUGAUCGAAAUACCAAAGAUUUAUCGCUGAAGGAUGGACUCGCGUCUGAUUAGGUAGUUGGUGGGGUAACGGCCUACCAAGCCGACGAUCAGUAGCCGGACUGAGAGGUUGAUCGGCCACAUUGGGACUGAGACACGGCCCAGACUCCUACGGGAGGCAGCAGUGGGGAAUAUUGCACAAUGGGCGCAAGCCUGAUGCAGCAACGCCGCGUGAAGGAAGACGGUUUUCGGAUUGUAAACUUCUGUUCUUAGUGAAGAAUAAUGACGGUAGCUAAGGAGCAAGCCACGGCUAACUACGUGCCAGCAGCCGCGGUAAUACGUAGGUGGCAAGCGUUGUCCGGAAUUACUGGGUGUAAAGGGAGCGCAGGCGGGUGAUCAAGUCAGCUGUGAAAACUACGGGCUUAACCCGUAGACUGCAGUUGAAACUGUUCAUCUUGAGUGAAGUAGAGGUUGGCGGAAUUCCGAGUGUAGCGGUGAAAUGCGUAGAUAUUCGGAGGAACACCGGUGGCGAAGGCGGCCAACUGGGCUUUAACUGACGCUGAGGCUCGAAAGUGUGGGGAGCAAACAGGAUUAGAUACCCUGGUAGUCCACACUGUAAACGAUGAUUGCUAGGUGUGGGGGGUCUGACCCCUUCCGUGCCGGAGUAACGCAAUAAGCAAUCCACCUGGGGAGUACGACCGCAAGGUUGAAACUCAAAGGAAUUGACGGGGACCCGCACAAGCAGUGGAUUAUGUGGUUUAAUUCGAAGCAACGCGAAGAACCUUACCAGCACUUGACAUCCAACUAACGAAAUAGAGAUAUAUUAGGUGCCCUUCGGGGAAAGUUGAGACAGGUGGUGCAUGGUUGUCGUCAGCUCGUGUCGUGAGAUGUUGGGUUAAGUCCCGCAACGAGCGCAACCCUCGCCAUUAGUUGCUACGCAAGAGCACUCUAAUGGGACCGCUACCGACAAGGUGGAGGAAGGUGGGGACGACGUCAAAUCAUCAUGCCCCUUAUGUGCUGGGCUACACACGUAAUACAAUGGCCAUCAACAGAGAGAAGCAAUACCGCGAGGUGGAGCAAAACUUCAAAAAUGGUCUCAGUUCGGACUGCAGGCUGCAACCCGCCUGCACGAAGUUGGAAUUGCUAGUAAUCGUGGAUCAGCAUGCCACGGUGAAUACGUUCCCGGGUCUUGUACACACCGCCCG